CCCAGUUUGAUCCGGGCUCAGGAUUAACGCUGGCGGCGUGCCUGAGACAUGCAAGUCGAACGGGUGACUCGGGCUUGCUCGAGUCGCUAGUGGCGAACGGCUGAGUAACACGUAGGUGACCUGCCCCGAAGUGGGGAAUAACUGCCCGAAAGGGUGGCUAAUACCGCAUGUGGUCGCACGUUCGGUCGUGCGAGUAAAGCCGCAAGGCGCUUCGGGAGGGGCCUGCGUCCGAUUAGCUCGUUGGUGGGGUAACGGCUCACCAAGGCGACGAUCGGUAGGUGGUCUGAGAGGACGAUCACCCAGACUGGGACUGAGACACGGCCCAGACUCCUACGGGAGGCAGCAGUCGGGAAUUUUGCUCAAUGGGCGCAAGCCUGAAGCAGCAACGCCGCGUGAGGGAUGAAGGCCUUCGGGUUGUAAACCUCUUUUCUCAGGGACGAUGAUGACGGUACCUGAGGAAGAAGCCACGGCAAACUACGUGCCAGCAGCCCCGGUCAA
RNAcentral lists this ribosomal RNA (498 nucleotides) under uncultured bacterium. Its description in RNAcentral is "bacterial SSU rRNA". It matches the Rfam family "Bacterial small subunit ribosomal RNA", at positions 1 to 524 of the family's 1533-position model. The record is from RNAcentral.